RNAcentral lists this ribosomal RNA (253 nucleotides) under uncultured bacterium. Its description in RNAcentral is "partial 16S ribosomal RNA". It matches the Rfam family "Bacterial small subunit ribosomal RNA", at positions 524 to 776 of the family's 1533-position model. The record is from RNAcentral.
UACGUAGGGGGCAAGCGUUGUCCGGAUUUAUUGGGCGUAAAGAGCGUGUAGGCGGCCAGACAGGUCUGCUGUGAAAACUCGAGGCUCAACCUCGAGACGCCGGUGGAAACCGUCUGGCUAGAGUCCGGAAGAGGAGAGUGGAAUUCCUGGUGUAGCGGUGAAAUGCGCAGAUAUCAGGAAGAACACCCGUGGCGAAGGCGGCUCUCUGGAACGCAACUGACGCUGAGACGCGAAAGCGUGGGGAGCAAACAGG